UGGGGAAUAUUGGACAAUGGGGGCAACCCUGAUCCAGCCAUGCCGCGUGAGUGAUGAAGGCCUUAGGGUUGUAAAGCUCUUUCGGGUGGGACGAUGAUGACGGUACCACCAGAAGAAGCCCCGGCUAACUUCGUGCCAGCAGCCGCGGUAAUACGAAGGGGGCUAGCGUUGUUCGGAAUGACUGGGCGUAAAGCGCACGUAGGCGGCCUGUUUAGUAAGGGGUGAAAUCCCGGGGCUUAACCCCGGAACUGCCUUUGAUACUGGCAGGCUUGAGCCCGGAAGAGGGUGGCGGAAGACCCAGUGUAGAGGUGAAAUUCGUAGAUAUUGGGUAGAACACCGGUGGCGAAGGCGGCCACCUGGUCCGGUGCUGACGCUGAGGUGCGAAAGCGUGGGGAGCAAACA
RNAcentral lists this ribosomal RNA (402 nucleotides) under uncultured prokaryote. RNAcentral describes it as "bacterial SSU rRNA". It matches the Rfam family "Bacterial small subunit ribosomal RNA", at positions 355 to 774 of the family's 1533-position model. The record is from RNAcentral.